Long non-coding RNA from Hypanus sabinus (Atlantic stingray), 505 nucleotides. RefSeq lists it as uncharacterized. The record is from RefSeq and is a predicted model, not a curated record. NCBI's taxonomy places the organism in Eukaryota, Metazoa, Chordata, Chondrichthyes, Myliobatiformes, Dasyatidae. The transcript has 3 exons.
GUUCAACUGGCUGAAUUCCUUUGGUAGCUUUCUUUUAUCCACCCAGCGAUGAAAUUUCCUGAAGGAGUUGAUACGGAAUUUGCAACAACUGUACCCAAUAACAGGCUCUUUGCGUAGAAAAGGAGGAAAGAGAUGGACAGAAAGAACGUGAAUGAAAAAAGCGAAUGGUGUGGAAGAGAGAAGGAACGUCAAAAAGAAAAAGAGAGGGACUAAAGUAGAUCUAGAGAAAGAAAAGAAAAAGAAAGAUGUCCAGAGCUGUCAGAAUCACUUCCUGCAGUCUCAGAGCCGACUCCUGCAGCCACCACUGAGGAGGCCUCAAAAACUGAGAAUGUUUUUGCAGCCACAAGUCUCACCUGUCAAGAAGAGUGAUAUCCCUUAUCAGGAAGAUGUUAUCUCACAAGGAAACCACAACAAAAUUCGCAACCGCGACAGGACCGGAAAGAGACCCGUGGAAAGGAAACAGCAGAUUGGGGACGCUUCCCGGUCCUCUAGGGACCCCCACAGG